RNAcentral lists this long non-coding RNA (724 nucleotides) under Chinchilla lanigera (long-tailed chinchilla). Its description in RNAcentral is "lncRNA (ENSCLAG00000028090.1)". Lineage: Eukaryota; Metazoa; Chordata; Mammalia; Rodentia; Chinchillidae. The record is from RNAcentral.
GAAUAUUUUAUUGCAUAUUUAACUCUUUUACUAGAUUACAGAUUUCCUCAAGUUAAAGGGCGUGUCUUAAUAAUUACUACUAUUAUUAUUACUGUUAUUAUUAUUGUCACCGGCAGUGCGAGGGAUCAGACCCAGGGCCCUGCAAUUCUCUAGUACUGAGCUGCGCCCACAACCCUCUUCAUCAUUUUUGCAUUGUCACUGCUUAGCACUAAGCACGGCAGAUGGUGGCUGUCAACAUUCUGUGAAUUCAGACAAGCACUGUGCUGCUGAGCCAUAUUCCCAGCUCACCAGAUCUCCUGAUGGAAUCCUUCACUUGAGUUCAGCUCUCCAAGCCCUGCUCACUUUCUUCCAACUCUGUUCAUAGCAUCAGUGGACUUUCUUCGGUAAGGCAAGAGAGCACUUCAGUUAAAGUCAGGGUUUCAGAAUUAGGUCUGGGUUCAAGUCUUGGCUCUGAAAAUGCUAUCCAUGGGUGAUCUUGUCCAGGAUGCUUCAAAUGAUUUUAGCUUCAGUUUCUUCAUCUGAUAGGUGAGAGGAAAGAAGUUCUUAGGGCAAACUAAAUGAGAUAUUUGCUAUAAAACAUGUAAAAUGAAACAUAAAACUAAGCUACUAAAGUUCAAAAACUCCUCACUUUUGCAUGUUGAGUAUAAAAAUGAAUCUGUGUCUGUCCAAGUCCUCAGAAUUUUUAAGUGAUGUUUGGGAAGUCUCUAUAUGAUGUCUAGGUUGG